RNAcentral lists this ribosomal RNA (429 nucleotides) under Pseudomonadota bacterium. RNAcentral's name for it is "Proteobacteria bacterium partial 16S ribosomal RNA". It matches the Rfam family "Bacterial small subunit ribosomal RNA", at positions 355 to 776 of the family's 1533-position model. The record is from RNAcentral. Lineage: Bacteria; Pseudomonadati; Pseudomonadota.
UGGGGAAUAUUGGACAAUGGGCGAAAGCCUGAUCCAGCCAUGCCGCGUGUGUGAAGAAGGUCUUCGGAUUGUAAAGCACUUUAAGUUGGGAGGAAGGGCAGUAAGCGAAUACCUUGCUGUUUUGACGUUACCGACAGAAUAAGCACCGGCUAACUCUGUGCCAGCAGCCGCGGUAAUACAGAGGGUGCAAGCGUUAAUCGGAAUUACUGGGCGUAAAGCGCGCGUAGGUGGUUCGUUAAGUUGAAUGUGAAAGCCCCGGGCUCAACCUGGGAACUGCAUCCAAAACUGGCGAGAUAGAGUAGGGCAGAGGGUGGUGGAAUUUCCUGUGUAGCGGUGAAAUGCGUAGAGAUAGGAAGGAACACCAGUGGCGAAGGCGACCACCUGGGCUCAUACUGACACUGAGGUGCGAAAGCGUGGGGAGCAAACAGG